This 274-nucleotide ribosomal RNA is filed under the name uncultured bacterium. RNAcentral's name for it is "partial 16S ribosomal RNA". It matches the Rfam family "Bacterial small subunit ribosomal RNA", at positions 523 to 796 of the family's 1533-position model. The record is from RNAcentral.
AUACGGAGGGUGCAAGCGUUACUCGGAAUCACUGGGCGUAAAGCGCGCGCAGGCGGUCUUUUAAGUUGGAUGUGAAAGCCUACGGCUCAACCGUAGAACUGCAUCCAAAACUAUUAGACUAGAGUGUGGGAGAGGAAGAUGGAAUUAGUUGUGUAGGGGUAAAAUCCGUAGAGAUAACUAGGAAUACCAAAAGCGAAGGCAAUCUUCUGGAACACUACUGACGCUGAGGCGCGAAAGCGUGGGGAACAAACAGGAUUAGAUACCCUAGUAGUCC